UACAGAGGUCUCAAGCGUUGUUCGGAUUCAUUGGGCGUAAAGGGUGUGUAGGCGGCUUGGCAAGUCGGGUGUGAAAUCCCUCAGCUCAACUGAGGAAGUGCGCCCGAAACUGCUUUGCUUGAGUGCCGGAGAGGAUGGCGGAAUUCCCCAAGUAGAGGUGAAAUUCGUAGAUAUGGGGAGGAACACCGGUGGCGAAGGCGGCCACCUGGACGGUCACUGACGCUGAGACGCGAAAGCGUGGGUAGCAAACAGG
Molecule: ribosomal RNA, 253 nt
Filed under: uncultured bacterium
Lineage: Bacteria
Description: partial 16S ribosomal RNA
Rfam family: Bacterial small subunit ribosomal RNA
Source: RNAcentral